GUCUCAUCGCAAGGAACAUGCUCUCUGCAUGUAUUGUGCCUCCAAGGACCAUUCAGUCACGGACUGCCCAUCUCUGAAGAGACAGAAAUCUGUGGGAAAGACAGCGACUAAACCUUGAAGCCGUUGUGGACUCUGGCGCUUAUGCCAAUUACAUUGAUUCCUCUAUAGUAAAAAAUAAAAAUAUACCGUUUGUUGUGAAAGAAAA
Long non-coding RNA from Bombina bombina (fire-bellied toad), 205 nucleotides. RefSeq lists it as uncharacterized. Lineage: Eukaryota; Metazoa; Chordata; Amphibia; Anura; Bombinatoridae. The transcript is spliced from 2 exons. The record is from RefSeq and is a predicted model, not a curated record.